AUUGCCUCAGUAACGGCGAGUGAAGCGGCAAGAGCUCAAAUUUGAAAUCUGGCUCCUCCGGGGUCCGAGUUGUAAUUUGCAGAGGAUGCUCUGGGAGUGGUCGCGGUCUAAGUCCCCUGGAACGGGGCGUCGCAGAGGGUGAGAAUCCCGUCUUCGGCCGGCCGGCCUCGCCCAUGUAGAGCUCCUUCGACGAGUCGAGUUGUUUGGGAAUGCAGCUCUAAAUGGGUGGUAAAUUUCAUCUAAAGCUAAAUACUGGUCGGAGACCGAUAGCGCACAAGUAGAGUGAUCGAAAGAUGAAAAGCACUUUGAAAAGAGAGUUAAACAGCAUGUGAAAUUGUUGAAAGGGAAGCGCUUGCGACCAGAGUCGGCCGCGGGGGUUAAGCGGGGGUCCUCCCCUGUGUACGUCCCCGCGGUUGGGCCAGCAUCAGUUCUGGCGGUCGGAUAAAGGCCCCGGGAAUGUGUCGUCCUUCGGGACGUCUUAUAGCCCGGGGUGUAAUACGGCCAGCCGGGACUGAGGAACGCGCUUCGGCACGGAUGCUGGCUUAAUGGUCGUAAGUGGCCCGUCUUGAAACACGGACCAAGGAGUCUAACAUCCACGCGAGUGUUCGGGUGACAAACCCGUCCGCGCAGUGAAAGCGAACGGAGGUGAGAGCCCCUUGAGGGUGCAUCAUCGACCGAUCCUGAAGUCUUCGGAUGGAUUUGAGUAUGAGCGUGGCUGUGGGGACCCGAAAGAUGGUGAACUAUGCCUGAAUAGGGUGAAGCCAGAGGAAACUCUGGUGGAGGCUCGCAGCGGUUCUGACGUGCAAAUCGAUCGUCAAAUUUGGGUAUAGGGCGAAGACUAAUCGAACCAUCU
This 853-nucleotide ribosomal RNA is filed under the name Ascosphaera naganensis. RNAcentral's name for it is "LSU rRNA". It matches the Rfam family "Eukaryotic large subunit ribosomal RNA", at positions 74 to 945 of the family's 3401-position model. Lineage: Eukaryota; Fungi; Ascomycota; Eurotiomycetes; Onygenales; Ascosphaeraceae. The record is from RNAcentral.